GGGUUGUGAGGUUAAGCGACUAAGCGUACACGGUGGAUGCCCUGGCAGUCAGAGGCGAUGAAGGACGUGCUAAUCUGCGAAAAGCGUCGGUAAGGUGAUAUGAACCGUUACAGCCGGCGAUGUCCGAAUGGGGAAACCCAGUGCAAUUCGUUGCACUAUCGUUAACUGAAUACAUAGGUUAACGAGGCGAACCGGGGGAACUGAAACAUCUAAGUACCCCGAGGAAAAGAAAUCAACCGAGAUUCCCCCAGUAGCGGCGAGCGAACGGGGAGCAGCCCGGAGUCUGAAUCAGCUUGUGUGUUAGUGGAAGCGUCUGGAAAGUCGCAGGGUACAGGGUGAUACUCCCGUACACUAAA
Molecule: ribosomal RNA, 356 nt
Filed under: Klebsiella oxytoca
Lineage: Bacteria; Pseudomonadati; Pseudomonadota; Gammaproteobacteria; Enterobacterales; Enterobacteriaceae
Also listed under: 1 other name
Description: bacterial LSU rRNA
Rfam family: Bacterial large subunit ribosomal RNA
Source: RNAcentral